This 309-nucleotide unclassified non-coding RNA is filed under the name plant metagenome. RNAcentral describes it as "partial contains 5.8S ribosomal RNA, internal transcribed spacer 2, and large subunit ribosomal RNA". The stretch from base 1 to 105 matches the Rfam family "5.8S ribosomal RNA", at positions 50 to 154 of the family's 154-position model. The record is from RNAcentral.
GAAAUGCGAUAAGUAGUGUGAAUUGCAGAAUUCAGUGAAUCAUCAAAUCUUUGAACGCACAUUGCGCCCCUUGGUAUUCCAUGGGGCAUGCCUGUUCGAGCGUCAUUUGUACCCUCAAGCUCUGCUUGGUGUUGGGUGUUUGUCCCGUCUCCGCGCGUGGACUCGCCCCAAAGUGAUUGGCAGCCGGCGUACUGGUCCCGGAGCGCAGCACAUGUCGCGCAAACGAGUGCCUUGGUACGGCGGCGUCCAUAAGCCCCUCUCUCACGCUCUUGACCUCGGAUCAGGUAGGGAUACCCGCUGAACUUAAGC